AGCAGCCGCCGCGGGAAUACGAAGGGUGCAAGCGUUAAUCGGAAUUACUGGGCGUAAAGCGUGCGUAGGCGGUGAGUUAAGUCUGCUGUGAAAUCCCCGGGCUCAACCUGGGAAUGGCAGUGGAUACUGGCUCGCUAGAGUGUGGUAGAGGAUAGUGGAGUUUCCGGUGUAGCAGUGAAAUGCGUAGAGAUCGGAAGGAACAUCUGUGGCGAAGGCGACUAUCUGGGCCAACACUGACACUGAGGCACGAAAGCGUGGGGAGCAAACAGGAUUAGAUACCCCCGUAGUCCCUGUCUCUUAUAU
This 303-nucleotide ribosomal RNA is filed under the name uncultured bacterium. Its description in RNAcentral is "partial 16S ribosomal RNA". It matches the Rfam family "Bacterial small subunit ribosomal RNA", at positions 507 to 809 of the family's 1533-position model. The record is from RNAcentral.